UACGUAGGGGGCAAGCGUUGUCCGGAUUUAUUGGGCGUAAAGAGCGUGUAGGCGGCCAUGUAGGUCCGUUGUGAAAACUCGAGGCUCAACCUCGAGACGCCGAUGGAAACCAUGUGGCUAGAGUCCGGAAGAGGAGAGUGGAAUUCCUGGUGUAGCGGUGAAAUGCGCAGAUAUCAGGAAGAACACCCGUGGCUAAGGCGGCUCUCUGGACCGGAUCUGACGCUGAGGCGCGAAAGCGUGGGGAGCAAACAGG
RNAcentral lists this ribosomal RNA (253 nucleotides) under uncultured bacterium. Its description in RNAcentral is "partial 16S ribosomal RNA". It matches the Rfam family "Bacterial small subunit ribosomal RNA", at positions 524 to 776 of the family's 1533-position model. The record is from RNAcentral.